UAACUGAGGGAAACUUCAGCUAAUACCGUAUGAGCCCGAGAGGGGAAGAUUAUCGCCUUGGGAGCGGCCCGCGUCGGAUUAGCUAGUUGGUGGGGUAACGGCCUACCAAGGCUUCGAUCCGUAGCUGGUCUGAGAGGACGAUCAGCCACACUGGGACUGAGACACGGCCCAGACUCCUACGGGAGGCAGCAGUGGGGAAUCUUGCGCAAUGGGGGCAACCCUGACGCAGCCAUGCCGCGUGAACGAUGAAGGCCUUAGGGUUGUAAAGUUCUUUUACCCGUGACGAUGAUGACGGUAACGGGGGAAUAAGCUCCGGCUAACUUCGUG
This 327-nucleotide ribosomal RNA is filed under the name uncultured bacterium. RNAcentral describes it as "bacterial SSU rRNA". It matches the Rfam family "Bacterial small subunit ribosomal RNA", at positions 144 to 507 of the family's 1533-position model. The record is from RNAcentral.